UAAUUUGAGAGUUUGAUCCUGGCUCAGGACGAACGCUGGCGGCGUGCCUAAUACAUGCAAGUCGAACGAACUCUGGUAUUGAUUGGUGCUUGCAUCAUGAUUUACAUUUGAGUGAGUGGCGAACUGGUGAGUAACACGUGGGAAACCUGCCCAGAAGCGGGGGAUAACACCUGGAAACAGAUGCUAAUACCGCAUAACAACUUGGACCGCAUGGUCCGAGUUUGAAAGAUGG
RNAcentral lists this ribosomal RNA (232 nucleotides) under Lactiplantibacillus plantarum. RNAcentral describes it as "partial 16S ribosomal RNA". It matches the Rfam family "Bacterial small subunit ribosomal RNA", at positions 1 to 211 of the family's 1533-position model. Lineage: Bacteria; Bacillati; Bacillota; Bacilli; Lactobacillales; Lactobacillaceae. The record is from RNAcentral.